GAUGAACGCUGGCGGCGUGCCUAAUACAUGCAAGUCGAGCGAACAGAUGAGGAGCUUGCUCCUCUGACGUUAGCGGCGGACGGGUGAGUAACACGUGGAUAACCUACCUAUAAGACUGGGAUAACUUCGGGAAACCGGAGCUAAUACCGGAUAAUAUAUUUAACCGCAUGGUUCAAUAGUGAAAGACGGUUUUGCUGUCACUUAUAGAUGGAUCCGCGCCGCAUUAGCUAGUUGGUAAGGUAACGGCUUACCAAGGCAACGAUGCGUAGCCGACCUGAGAGGGUGAUCGGCCACACUGGAACUGAGACACGGUCCAGACUCCUACGGGAGGCAGCAGUAGGGAAUCUUCAGCAAUGGGCGAAAGCCUGACGGAGCAACGCCGCGUGAGUGAUGAAGGUCUUCGGAUCGUAAAACUCUGUUAUUAGGGAAGAACAAAUGUGUAAGUAACUAUGCACGUCUUGACGGUACCUAAUCAGAAAGCCACGGCUAACUACGUG
Molecule: ribosomal RNA, 497 nt
Filed under: uncultured bacterium
Lineage: Bacteria
Description: partial 16S ribosomal RNA
Rfam family: Bacterial small subunit ribosomal RNA
Source: RNAcentral